GUGAAUCAUCGAAUUUUUGAACGCAAAUUGCACUCUCCGGUUUUCCGGGAGAGUAGGCUUGUUUGAGGGCCAGCCUAAAAAAAAUCGACAUGGUUGCUGUCUUAUGUUGACUCUCGUCGGAUAUGGGUUAUCUUAAAUUCCGGUAUAAGCGACUUAAAAAUUUUUUUUACGAUUCUAAGAAUGUUACUAAGUUUUUUCUUGUACGUUUAAGGUAUCGAAUGUCUUA
This 226-nucleotide unclassified non-coding RNA is filed under the name Glomus sp. RNAcentral's name for it is "partial contains 5.8S ribosomal RNA and internal transcribed spacer 2". The stretch from base 1 to 72 matches the Rfam family "5.8S ribosomal RNA", at positions 84 to 154 of the family's 154-position model. Lineage: Eukaryota; Fungi; Glomeromycota; Glomeromycetes; Glomerales; Glomeraceae. The record is from RNAcentral.